This 536-nucleotide long non-coding RNA is filed under the name Elaeis guineensis (African oil palm). Its description in RNAcentral is "long non-coding RNA (EGUI_LNC045303)". The record is from RNAcentral. Lineage: Eukaryota; Viridiplantae; Streptophyta; Magnoliopsida; Arecales; Arecaceae.
GGGGCUUGGUAUAUAGUCCUUGCUGGUUAGGCAUGAUGCCCUGUGGCCCAACAUGCUAUGGGAUUUCUUCUUUAGCCUAACAGUCUGGAGAGCAUGGUGAUGAGGGCCAAGUAUGAAUUCGGGAUCUUUGGUGCUAACAUUCAGGCCUAUCCGAGUAGCUCCUUCAUGUGAAAGGUAUCUGCACUCGUGCUCCAAAUGUGAUGGCCUGCAUUAGGUGGCUAGUUGGAGAUAGGCAAAUAAUGGACUUGGUUCAAGACCUGUGGAUUGCUGAUCUCUUAUUGAGUCAGUGGCCGACUUUAUGAGUAUAGAGGUUGGAGAGUUGAUAUAGGUAUGUGACUUAUUUCAGCCCGAAGGGAGGGGUUGGAGUAUCGAGUUGGUGACCUGCCUGUUUGAAGACCAACUAGCAGAGAUGAUGUUGGCCCAAGUGAUUCCUAUUCAGGGGUUCAGGAUGUUAGGGUUUGGAGAUCAUCCUAUACUCCAAGGAUGGUAGCUAGAGACCUCUAUGACCUAUAUAGGAAGGAGCAGGCUAGGAGAUU